UAGGUUCCAUGGCAAGCACAACAACACGAAGUGGGAUGCCUAGUAAGAUUGGGUCACUUUCUCGGGUUGUAGUGAAGGUGGGAUGCCUAGUAAGAUUGGGUCACUUUCUCGGGUUAUAGUGAAGAGGGAGUAACGGUACUGGUGAGGCGCGGAGGGUCUCAUUGCGAAGUCCACAACGUCUAGAGAAGCAAUGCGGUCACCUCCUUAUAUGGGGCUCUUGCUAUUAUGCGCCGUCCCCGUCUUAGCCAGACCACCACCACCGUCCGCUGUUGAGGACAUGUUGCCUAUCUCUCUUCUUGUCUUCUCCAAUAUGCUCCUCCAUCUCCCGUGGUUUGUGCUUUGGGGUUGAUUC
RNAcentral lists this long non-coding RNA (352 nucleotides) under Setaria viridis. RNAcentral describes it as "long non-coding RNA (SVIR_LNC005297)". Lineage: Eukaryota; Viridiplantae; Streptophyta; Magnoliopsida; Poales; Poaceae. The record is from RNAcentral.